RNAcentral lists this ribosomal RNA (482 nucleotides) under uncultured bacterium. RNAcentral's name for it is "partial 16S ribosomal RNA". It matches the Rfam family "Bacterial small subunit ribosomal RNA", at positions 28 to 507 of the family's 1533-position model. The record is from RNAcentral.
GACGAACGCUGGCGGCGUGCUUAACACAUGCAAGUCGGACGAUGAAGAAGAGAAACGCGAACUUCGGUUCAAAUUUCACUUCGGAUUAGUGGCAGACGGGUGAGUAACGCGUGAGCAACCUACCUCUUACAAAGGGAUAGCCUCGGGAAACCGUGAUUAAUACCAUAUGACACAUUCAUAAGGCAUCUUAAGAAUGUUAAAGCUACGGCGGUAAGAGAUGGGCUCGCGUCCCAUUAGCUAGUUGGUGAGGUAACGGCCCACCAAGGCGACGAUGGGUAACCGGCCUGAGAGGGUGAACGGUCACAUUGGAACUGAGACACGGUCCAAACUCCUACGGGAGGCAGCAGUGGGGAAUAUUGCACAAUGGAGGGAACUCUGAUGCAGCGACGCCGCGUGAGCGAUGAAGGAAUUCGUUUCGUAAAGCUCUGUUCUAUGGGAAGAAAAGGACGGUACCAGAGGAGAAAGCCCCGGCUAAAUACGUG